ACUGUCUGAGAAUGCCUGUACCCUGAAGGACUGCCAGGAACCUAGAGGAGAGCUUUUUCCACGGUACUGAAGGUGCAUUUGGAUGUGACACCUGAGAGGCGUAGAUGAUGUUUCCAUACGCUGGCCGCUGGAAUCAAAGCCUGGGGAUUGCCAUCACGGCAGAAACGCAAACAGAGCUUGAGUCCAUCAUUCUGCUAAUGGCUCUUCCAGGCGCAGUUUCUUAAUCAGAUGUGAACACAAUCAAAGAGGCACUUCCCAGCCUUGUGUAAUGGACAGCCAUUUACCCAGAAAGUGCAGCUGAAAAAUGAAAGGGUGAAUUGAUGUUCCCUCCUGUUUGUUGAUCAGACGGAGAGUCUGUUGAAGACAUCAAGAUGAGUCUGAUAAACGCAUUUUGUCAGCUCUGCGAAGAAAGGCAGCCCGCUUACUCUGUUUUCCCACUGUCUUUGUAUUUCUUGGUAACUUUGUAGGUUUACAAAAAUCCAUCUUCCAGGAGAGACAUCUUCCGGGAGAGACAACACGCAUCUGCUGUGUGUUAUCUUUCAUGACCACGAAACCAAAUCCAUAGUUCUUAUCCGCUACAGCUGCUGGGAUUGCUCCGAGGUAUUUUAUAAUUGGAUUGGAAACGAAGUUAGAGAUUCCCUUGACCUGCUGUACCGAAGGCUAAUG
This is a long non-coding RNA of Suricata suricatta (meerkat), 666 nucleotides long. RefSeq lists it as uncharacterized. The transcript has 3 exons. Lineage: Eukaryota; Metazoa; Chordata; Mammalia; Carnivora; Herpestidae. The record is from RefSeq and is a predicted model, not a curated record.